Long non-coding RNA from Acomys russatus (golden spiny mouse), 918 nucleotides. RefSeq lists it as uncharacterized. The transcript is spliced from 3 exons. NCBI's taxonomy places the organism in Eukaryota, Metazoa, Chordata, Mammalia, Rodentia, Muridae. The record is from RefSeq and is a predicted model, not a curated record.
UCGGUGGAUUUCUCUCCCCUCUCUGCCUUACACACAUUUUAUUUGAAAGCAUUGAAUAAGUAGCCCAGGCUCUCGCUCAGACUUAUGGGGCUGAUGAACUACGCCCCCGCCGCAGCCAGUUUUCUCGGCACCCCAAUCCAGCCCGCUCCAGAGGACGGGCUGAGAUUCUGCUAUCACGUAGGCAGUGAGACCGGGGAGACGAGCUGCCUCCCUCGAAACCAUCAAGACAGACGUCCACGGGUUUUAGGGUGUCCCCCCUAAAGGCAAGCACAUCUGGGGCACCUCCGGCAGAUGCUCGCCCUCAGGGUCGACCAGGAGGCUGAAGCUUUGCAAGGCAUCACACUGCCUAGAGCCCAGACAAAAGCCAAUUUUACCAACCCGCAAACCCGUGGAGGCCUGCAACUUCUGUUCGCGGCACUUUGGCGCCCUCUGGCUGUAUCAGGAUUGCUUGCUUGUUCUGCCUCAUGCUGAAAGAAAAGGGGGAAUGGAAAUGUAUGUUGUCUUCUUGGUUUGAUCUACCCUCAUGAAUGGAGCUCGGAGUUGGGGUAAGCUUGCCCUGUUUUGUCAUCACGGCCAGGAUGACAAAAAAUAACCACAUUUAGGGAGACAAACGCCAAAGGAAGUGCAUUCUGCCAAAGGGAAGGAUUUCCGUGCCUUAACCUGUGAGCUGUCUUGCUUCCCAGAUAACAUUUGGCGAUGCCAUUGAGGUUGUUUUCAUGUGAGAGUUGGAGAGACGGAACUGCCAUCUAGUUGGUAGAGGGUACCCAGCCCAAAAUAUCAGUCAUGGUUAGAAUGCAGAGGCUGAGAUCUACGGUUGAGAAUUAAGUAUGACAUAGUCUACCCAGUUGCGGAAGGCAAGUGGUUUUUGUUUUGUGUUGUUUGUUGUUUGGUUGGUUUUGGUUGUUUGGUUUUGGUAGU